AACCUGGUUGAUCCUGCCAGUAGUCAUAUGCUUGUCUCAAAGAUUAAGCCAUGCAUGUCUAAGUAUAAAUAGUAUACAGUGAAACUGCGAAUGGCUCAUUAAAACAGUUAUAGUUUAUUUGAUAGUGCACAUUACAUGGAUAACCGUGGUAAUUCUAGAGCUAAUACAUGCGCAAAUACCUGACUCACGAAAGGUAGCAUUUAUUAGAUUUAACCAUCAUAUGGUGAAUCAUAGUAACUUGGCGGACCGCGCUCCGGCGUGGUAAAUCAUUCAAGUUUCUGCCCUAUCAGCUUUCGAUGGUAGUGUAUUGGACUACCAUGGCAGUCACGGGUAACGGAGAAUUAGGGUUCGAUUCCGGAGAGGGAGCCUGAGAAACGGCUACCACAUCUAAGGAAGGCAGCAGGCGCGUAAAUUACCCAAUCCCAAUUCGGGGAGGUAGUGACAAGAAAUAACAACCUGAGUGGUUCGCCACUUCGGGAUUGCAAUGAGAUAAGUCUAAAUCCGUAAGCGAUUACCAAUUGGAGGGCAAGUCUGGUGCCAGCAGCCGCGGUAAUUCCAGCUCCAAUAGCGUAUACUUAAGUUGUUGCAGUUAAAAAGCUCGUAGUUGAAAAUCGAAUCAGCUUCAUUAUGGCUUCGGUCAUACUUGUUAGCUGGUUCUCCGUCUACAAACCUUUUUGCUCUUUUACGAGUGCAGCUUGGAGAGUAGACAAUUUACCUUGAAAAAAUUAGAGUGUUCCAGGCAGGUCUUCGCCGGAAUACAUUAGCAUGGAAUAAUGGAAUAGGACUAUGGUCUUUUGUUGGUUUUAGGGCCAGUGUAAUGAUUAAUAGGGACAGAUGGGGGCAUUAGUAUUUAAUUGUCAGAGGUGAAAUUCUUGGAUUUAUUAAAGACUAACUUAUGCGAAAGCAUUUGCCAAGGAUGUUUUCAUUAAUCAAGAACGAAAGUUAGGGGAUCAAAGACGAUCAGAUACCGUCGUAGUCUUAACUAUAAACUAUACCGACUCGAGAUCGGAAGGUGCUCAAUAAGGCCCUUUCGGCAUCGUAAGAGAAAUCAAAGUCUUUGGGUUCUGGGGGGAGUAUGGUCGCAAGGCUGAAACUUAAAGGAAUUGACGGAAGGGCACCACCAGGAGUGGAGCCUGCGGCUUAAUUUGACUCAACACGGGGAAACUUACCAGGUCAAAACAUGGAUGGGAUUGACAGAUUGAAAGCUCUUUCUUGAUUCUAUGGGUGGUGGUGCAUGGCCGUUCUUAGUUGGUGGAGUGAUUUGUCUGGUUAAUUCCGAUAACGAACGAGACCUUAACCUGCUAACUAGUUUGUACCUAAAAAAGGUAUAUAUCUUCUUAGAGGGACUAUGUAUGUUAAAUGCAUGGAAGUUUAAGGCAAUAACAGGUCUGUGAUGCCCCUAGAUGUCCUGGGCCGCACGCGCGCUACACUGACACGUUCAGCGAGUUUAAUCUCCUAUCUCGAAAGGGUAUGGGAAAUCUUGUUAGGACGUGUCGUGCUGGGGAUAGAUCUUUGCAAUUAUAGAUCUUGAACGAGGAAUUCCUUGUAAGCACAGGUCAUCAGCCUGUGCUGAAUACGUCCCUGCCCUUUGUACACACCGCCCGUCGCUCCUACCGAUUUCGAGUGAUGUGGUGAACUAUCUGGACUGUGGACGGGCUUGAACCGUUCGCGGGAAGUUUCGUAAACCUUAUCACUUAGAGGAAGGAGAAGUCGUAACAAGGUUUCCCUAGGUGAACCUGCAGAAGGAUCA
RNAcentral lists this ribosomal RNA (1750 nucleotides) under Paramecium duboscqui. Its description in RNAcentral is "SSU rRNA". It matches the Rfam family "Eukaryotic small subunit ribosomal RNA". Lineage: Eukaryota; Ciliophora; Oligohymenophorea; Peniculida; Parameciidae. The record is from RNAcentral.